RNAcentral lists this unclassified non-coding RNA (318 nucleotides) under Epithamnolia sp. RNAcentral describes it as "partial contains 5.8S ribosomal RNA, internal transcribed spacer 2, and large subunit ribosomal RNA". The record is from RNAcentral. RNAcentral also lists the same sequence under 1 other name. Lineage: Eukaryota; Fungi; Ascomycota; Leotiomycetes; Phacidiales.
AACGCAAAUUGCGCUCGAGGCCUCGGCCAAGAGCAUGUCUGCCUCAGCGUCGGCUACUACCCUCAACUAAGUUUCCUAUACACAUAGGGGAUGCCGGUUGGAUCUGGCCGUCCGGUUUGCCUUUUAGGUUGCCGGUCAGCUGAAAUACAUUCACGCUCUGGGGGCUGCUUUCCUUCCGAGGAGAGGCGAGUUCCGAUUUGGUAGGUGACCUUUGCCGGUUGCAUGCCUUCGUUGCCCGCUAAGCUUUCCAGUAUGCGUUGUGCAGGACGCCUUUUGGCUUUCGACCUGAGGUCAGGCAAGAACACCCGCUGAACUUAA